UUAUCUGAGAGUUGAUUGUUAUGGUGUAGUGCGAGAAGUUACGAGCAGAAUCUGCCACGCUGCCUGGCUUAAGGGCGGAGCUAGAAGCUCUAAGACGGAGACAUUCAGCAGCAUUGGAGUUGAUGGGUGAACGUGAUGAAGAGUUGGAAGAACUGCGUGCGGAUAUUGUCGAUUUGAAGGAGAUGUACAGGGAACAAGUGAACUUACUUGUAAAUAAGAUUCAGGUGCUAAGUUCUUCAAUCGGUGCUGCCUAAUGAUCUUUUUAGGGCGAUGGGCAAUUUCAGUUGUAGCAAUAUCAUGAUAUGGUAGUAAAUCCUGUGUAUGGAAUUGGGUUUACUUAAUCACAUGAUGUCUUUUUACACAAAGUUGUUUAUUUAUACUCCGUCAAGAACAUGCUAUUUUUGAAACUUUUUAUUGUAAUAUGUGAUGUUGUAUAGGCAAGAGCUUGGCAAGUUUUGUGUUGUUAUUUGUUCAAAUGUUCUAACACGGAGAUAAAUUGUCUGUAUUGCUUUGGCUAUUGCAACUUGAUAUUAGUUUAUUGCGUCGAAGGAAAUUUUUUCCCCAUUGUUUUAUUA
Molecule: long non-coding RNA, 575 nt
Organism: Olea europaea var. sylvestris
Lineage: Eukaryota; Viridiplantae; Streptophyta; Magnoliopsida; Lamiales; Oleaceae
Exons: 3
Source: RefSeq, a predicted model, not a curated record